RNAcentral lists this ribosomal RNA (406 nucleotides) under uncultured bacterium. RNAcentral describes it as "partial 16S ribosomal RNA". It matches the Rfam family "Bacterial small subunit ribosomal RNA", at positions 28 to 526 of the family's 1533-position model. The record is from RNAcentral.
GAUGAACGCUAGCUACAUGCUUAACACAUGCAAGUCGAGCGACCGACGCACGAGUAAGUAACACGUAUCCAACCUACACUUUACUCAGAGAUAGCCUUUCGAAAGGCAGAUUAAUACCCGAAAUAAAGAUUGAGGAUGCGUUGCAGUAGUUUGUUGGUGAGGUAACGGCUCACCAAGACUUCGAUGGAUAGGUGCUCUGCGAGGAAGCUCCCCCACAUUGGAACCGCGACCCGGUCCAAACCGCGACGGGAGGCAGCAGUGAGGAACAUUGUGGAAGAGGCGCUAGCCUGAAACAGCCAAGUAGCGUGAAGAAUGAAGGCUUAGGGGUCGUAAACUACUUUUAUAUAACAAUAUGUAUUAUAUCAAUAAGGAUCGGCUAACUCCGUGCCAGCAGCCGCGGUAAUAC